AGAAAACCUUGAUGUCUCUUGGCUAAGGUCAAGUGCAGUAUCUAUUUUUAUCCAUUUAAUAUUUACUACAUCCUCUAUCCUUGGACAAUAUACUGAAUGGAUUUUUGAAGCAAGAAAAUGGAAUAGGAGCUUGUUUUAACCAAUGUAAGAAGCCACCUAGUAUUGCACUACCUACAGGAAUGGUAUAUCCCCU
Molecule: small nuclear RNA, 193 nt
Organism: Ictidomys tridecemlineatus (thirteen-lined ground squirrel)
Lineage: Eukaryota; Metazoa; Chordata; Mammalia; Rodentia; Sciuridae
Gene: U2
Rfam family: U2 spliceosomal RNA
About the family: U2 is a small nuclear RNA (snRNA) component of the spliceosome (involved in pre-mRNA splicing). Complementary binding between U2 snRNA (in an area lying towards the 5' end but 3' to hairpin I) and the branchpoint sequence (BPS) of the intron results the bulging out of an unpaired adenosine, on the BPS, which initiates a nucleophilic attack at the intronic 5' splice site, thus starting the first of two transesterification reactions that mediate splicing.
Source: Ensembl